GGGGAUGCAGCUUAGUGGUAAAGCACAUGCCUAGCAUGUGAUAGAGUGGGUUUCAUUCCCA
This 61-nucleotide transfer RNA is filed under the name Mesocricetus auratus (golden hamster). It matches the Rfam family "tRNA". Rfam says of the family: Transfer RNA (tRNA) molecules are approximately 80 nucleotides in length. Their secondary structure includes four short double-helical elements and three loops (D, anti-codon, and T loops). Lineage: Eukaryota; Metazoa; Chordata; Mammalia; Rodentia; Cricetidae. The record is from Rfam by way of RNAcentral.